This is a long non-coding RNA of Zingiber officinale, 261 nucleotides long. RefSeq lists it as uncharacterized. The transcript is spliced from 3 exons. The record is from RefSeq and is a predicted model, not a curated record. NCBI's taxonomy places the organism in Eukaryota, Viridiplantae, Streptophyta, Magnoliopsida, Zingiberales, Zingiberaceae.
CGGUGCCCUAGCACCCUGGUUACUGCCGUCCCUCAGUCCGAGCAGAGCCGACCCUUUCCUUCUGCCAUAGCCGAGCCUCACCCCUUGCAUGAGUUGCUGCCUCGGGUUCUACCGAGCCUUUGGUUUAUGGUCAGUGGUUAAAUCUAGUACCAGCCACAGUUUUGGCAACGGGUGCAUCCUCGACAAAUUAACGACAAAGUAUACGGAUUUGGGACUUUGAUUCGAGACGAGUAUUUCGAUUUGUCGGACUGGACCAUUUCG